CCUACGGGAGACUGCAGUAGGGAAUCUUUCACAAUGGGCGAAAGCCUGAUGGAGCAACGCCGCGUGCAGGAUGAAGGCCUUCGGGUUGUAAACUGCUUUUAUAAGCGAGAAAUAUGAUGGUAACUUAUGAAUAAGGAUCGGCUAACUACGUGCCAGCAGCCGCGGUCAUACGUAGGAUCCGAGCAUUAUCCGGAGUGACUGGGUGUAAAGAGUUGCGUAGGUGGGAUAAUAAGUAGCUAGUGAAAUCUGGUGGCUCAACCACUCAGACUAUUAGCGAAACUGUUAAGCUCGAGACCGUUAGGGGUAACUGGAAUUUCUAGUGUAGGAGUGAAAUCCGUAGAUAUUAGAAGGAACACCAAUAGCGUAGGCAGGUUGCUGGGACGGUUCUGACACUAAGGCACGAAAGCGUAGGGAGCAAACGGGAUUAGAUACCCGUGUAGUC
Molecule: ribosomal RNA, 442 nt
Filed under: uncultured bacterium
Lineage: Bacteria
Description: partial 16S ribosomal RNA
Rfam family: Bacterial small subunit ribosomal RNA
Source: RNAcentral